Strigops habroptila (Kakapo) is the source of this 5237-nucleotide RNA transcript. It is a transcript of the gene named 3-hydroxyacyl-CoA dehydratase 2, with no coding region annotated. NCBI's taxonomy places the organism in Eukaryota, Metazoa, Chordata, Aves, Psittaciformes, Psittacidae. The transcript is spliced from 9 exons. The record is from RefSeq and is a predicted model, not a curated record.
CGGCGCUGCCGUACGCUGAGAGCGGGCGGAGGCUGCGGGAGCGCCGUAACAUGGCGGCGUCUGGCAGUGGCGGCAGCCGGGCGGAUAACGGCUACGGUAGCCAGCAGCCGCGGCGGAGGAAGGGCCCGGGUGCCCUGGCCACGGCCUAUCUCGUUAUCUACAACGUGGUGAUGACGGCGGGAUGGCUUGUUAUUGCGGUUGGUCUAGUUCGAGCAUACCUGGCUAAAGGUAGCUACCAUAGCCUUUACUAUUCAAUAGAAAAGCCCCUGAAAUUCUUCCAAACUGGAGCUUUGCUUGAGAUUCUACACUGUGCAUUUGGCAUUGUUCCCUCUUCGGUUGUUCUGACUGCUUUCCAAGUGAUGUCAAGGGUUUUCCUGACGUGGGCAGUAACACAUAGUGUAAAAGAGCUCCCCCUCAGCUGUUUGUGCACAGCAAUGCCUGGAUGUUCUCUGUUACCACUCUCCAGGAAAAUCUUCCCCUUGUCCUUCAUUCAUUUUUCUUGCAUGCAAGCACAGGUACAAACUGAAGAUAGCGUCCUGUUGUUUGUAGUGGCCUGGACAAUCACUGAGAUAAUCCGUUACUCUUUUUAUACGUUUAGCUUAUUAAACCAUCUCCCUUAUCUCAUCAAAUGGGCCAGGUACACUUUGUUUAUAGUAUUGUAUCCAAUGGGAGUCUCGGGCGAGUUACUCACAAUAUAUGCUGCAUUACCUUUCGUCAGGCAGUCUGGCUUGUAUUCCAUUAGUUUACCUAACAAGUACAAUUUUUCUUUUGACUACUAUACAUUCCUCAUCCUGGUUAUGAUCUCCUACAUUCCAAUCUUUCCUCAGCUGUAUUUUCAUAUGCUACAUCAGAGGCGAAAGGUACUCUCUCACACUGAAGAACACAAGAAGUCGGAGUAAUUCCAACUCUUUUUCAGAACUUUUCAAACAUCAAAAUGCUGCAGAUUUUCAAUACCCAGCACAUUUAUAAAGAAUAUACCAAGAUAGAAUAAGUCAGAGGUAGAAGACCAAUAAUUUAACAAGAAUAACCAAUAAAUCUGAUUUCACUGAAAUUCCACAAUGUAAAACAUCUAAAUAAUUUUCAGCUUGCAGUGCUUCAGAAAACUGUUAAACUUUGUGGCUUGGCAGUUAGCCUUUUCCUUUUCCUUAAAUGAUGUGCUAAACGGUUUUCAUUUAUUACUAAAUGCCUGAAGGCUGCAGUAUGAGCGAUGAAGUUGUACCCACUAAAUGCUUGAAUUGGGAUUAUAUUACUGAUACCUCCUUUUUUUUAAGUGCUUGACUGCAUGCCAGAAACUGUAUGUAUUGCUGUGAAAGCAAACAAUAUGCUCUGGAAUACUUUAUGAUUUUUGUCAGAGACUCCAGUGAAGAAUGUAAUCUGGGCAAAGUGUUUGAAUUAAAGGAAUCUGGUAUUACCUGGAGCUCUGAAAGAUUAAGCAUAGACUUUUUAUGCAUGGUUGGAAGAUAUUUCUACUUGAUAAUACAGUGAAAUGGUUUGUAUGCUAAAAUACUUGUCCAUGUUGUUGCCUUGUGAAAUUGAUUCUGUGCUCUCUGCCUGGAUUUGGCCUACUGAUCAGUGAUACUAAUUGCUAUAAUCCAAAUAAAAUAAUUCUGAACAAAAUACGUUGUAUUGUUACUGUUUAAAGAACAAAAGCAGAUACUUGAUGAAUGUCAAUUAGGGCUAUGGUUUUAUUCAUUUGUAUAUAAUCUGUACCUUACAAUUUACAAGAUUUUUUGGCAUACAUAACUUCUGAGCUGUUAUGAAUGCUCUGCUUUUCACUUCUAAAAGAGGCAUUCGUAACAGCAUGUUAACUGACUAUGUCAGCAUUCAAACUUACAACUUCCUAAAGGAUCCUCUACAGAAUGCAAGCUUUUUAUUCUGUUGUUAUCUGAACUCUAGAUGGUGAUGGUUUUCUGCAAAAACAAAAUCAUUUGAGUAUUAUGUAGUGGAAUGCUUAACUAAUGCAACAGAAUACUUCAGAGUUCAUUUACUAAAUACGAUAUGUCUGCUACCACAGCAACGUUCUUAGCAUUUUUAACACUUCCUGAGAGAGAUUUAAAUACUGUGUCUAGAUGCCAUUAAUGCUCAUAAAUAACAAAUUACAAUCCUCUAAUUGGAACUGAGUGGUAAUUGCAGAGUGGGUUCUACUACUCUAGGCAUAUGCUUGUCAUAAGAUUGAACAACUACAGUGAUUUUUUUGUUUGAUUGCAGACAGGAUGAAAUAAUGUUGUCAUGCCCAGUAUCAGCACAUGUCCUAUGCAUAACAACUGUGACUUAGCACUACUGUGUAAUUAAAAACUUCUCUUUGAAAUGUUAUGCUGUGAAAAGUGGUGCUGAGCUCCAUGUGUGCCUUAGAAUAACUAUUACUGGUUAUUUGUGUUUCCUCUUUGCAUUUUGAAAACAGUAUAUGUGGAAACAAUUUUAGUUACCUAGGGUAACAUUAAAAAGUCCGAAAAGCAUAAGGAUUCUGUGUUUGUAAGCAAAUUAAUUUCACAAUAGCAUUUAAGAUAAUGCUUAUCUUAAAGCAUUGGCAGUUCUUGACAUAAGAAUUCAGGAAGGAUCUGUGCUGAUGUGCUGAGUUAAAAAUAAGUGAUGUUCACAUCUGUGGUUCUGUUCUGUUUGGUAGGGCCUGAGCAUUUCUAGAGUGGGUUGGUUGAUUCAAGCCAUGCAACUGCCUGGAACUUCCAUUCAGUAUUACGUGGCUUUUACAUUCUGCUUCCUGUCUCCUGUGGAAAUACUUUUCCACCCUUGUCAGAAGACUUCUCAUACUACCUUGAAGCAGUUGAAAUUAAAAAUGUGGAUGGAAAAUUCUAACUCAUUUAAUACUGUCAGUCACUGAUUUCCAGAAUAAUGCUUUCCUUUACAGAUAUGAAAGAUUCUAAAGCCCGUUUUAUGCCUUCAGAAAUCAGUUGGACCUUGUAUUGUCAGAGGUGUAUUUUUCUCUUUGGUGUGCUGACAUUGAUAAUGUGCUACUAUUAGGGAAAGAGAUGUAACUGUCAAUAUUCUACCUUAAUUUUUCUAGUGGUUUAAUACAUAGAUGCAUAUCCCAUGAUGUCCUGGGUUCAGGACAUGGCACAUGAUAAAAGCAUAAUUAACAAUAUUUAGAAACACUUCCAUAUUCAGUUAUACUCGCACAAGCUCUAUCACAAGCUGCCUCUCUAUAGAUUGAAUGAAUUUUGUAUAGUUUGUAUAUAGAAACUUUAUAUUACCUGGUACUACAUAAGGAUGUUGUUAUUGGGAAAUUCGUUAGUGGAAGUUUUUGCAGACGCUUAUUCAGCUGAAUUGUGAACACUGAAUUGCAUUUUGUCCUGUCUUUUUGACUCCUGCUUCAGACAGUCUGCGUAAUCUUCUGCAAACCAUCUGUUAGCUCUUACAAGUCUAUGUUAAAAACUUUAAUAGUGACAUUUUCUAGUUUGAACACUUGAACUCACACAGUCAUAUUUGCUGUGUCAUCUGGGGCACUACAGUGGGUAGUUUCACUCUAGAAACUGUGAGUGAUAUUCUGAAGAAUAUAUAUAUAUGUGUAUAGGCAUUCCAGGUACCUUUUCUAAAAUUAGUUUUAAGUUGAUGUAAAUUUAAAAGUCAGCCCUUUGUUUCUCAUGCAUCUAGCAUGCUUCAAAAAUUUUUGUGAAGAGGAUGUAGAAGUGGAGGGCCUUCCAGUCAGCCUAACGCUAGGUUGCUUUUAUGAAAUCACUUUGCCUUCUAGUUAAAGGUUACUUCAGGUAAAAUACAACCUCUUCACUUCCUGGGUAAGAAAAAGAUGCUGAGUGCUGGUCUUCUGUACUAAAUGACAGUCAAUAAAAAGAUGUGAUAUAAGAAGAGGAGAGGUACUGGGUGAUACAGAGCUACCAUUGUGCUUCCCAAAGAAUAUUUGGGGGUUAACAACUUCCUUUUUAUCUUUGGUAUCCAGUAGUUGGGUGUUUUUGGAAGAGGAGGGGUGGUUGGUUGGUUUAGGUUUUUUGUGGUUUUGUUUUGGGGUUUGCGUGUGUGUGUUUGGUGGUGUGUUUGGUUUUUUUUGUUUGUUUUCUUUAAGGCAGAAUAACAGUGCUUAAAGGAAAUGCUGCAAUGUUUGUCUGGUAUGCUGAUGGCACGAAGUCCUUCUUAUUCUCCACCAGGUGUUUAUUACAUGAUUAUGGGGAACUGGAUGCACUGGCUUAGCUGCUGUUUUAGCUCUCUGUUCCUGUGCAUAAACUACUCCUGGGAAAGUUACUGGUUUGAGUAUUAAAUGUAUUUCCUUACUCAGCUUUUUGGUGCAAUUUAAGUAAACAAAGUACUUUAACUGUUCUGAAGUUAGCAAACUGGAACAGUGGAAAAAGCUUUCUUGCAUCACGAAGAAAAUGGAUGUGAAAAUGAAAGUACAACAUUGCUAGUUAGUUUAGUUAGUGAAACUGGAAAAAUAACAGUUGAUAUUGUCCGAGCCCUACCAGAAGUAAACUGUGCUAUCUGAAGAUACUGAAUUAUUCUUCAAAAAGUAUUAUCAAAUCAAGGGAUAUGUGGAAGCAUACACCAUACAAACAUGGGCCAGUUGUAAGCAUUCGUGAGCCACUGUGCUCCAGGUUCCUGUUGACAAUGUGAUUGGGCUAUAGCUUGCCAGAUUUUGAAGAAAUAGAUUGCUGAUGGAAAUAUGUAAAACUACUAUAUACCACUGGUGUUAAAAAAGUUUCAAACUGAAAGAAACUCUCAUUGAAUAAUAACUCUCAUUGCAUAAGAAACUCUCAUUGGAGUCCUACUAUAUGAAUUCUUGAUAAUAAAUGUACAAUAUAUUGCUGUCUGCCUGUUGAAGUUGUGUAAUUCAAUAACUUUUCAAUAAAAAUGUCUGGUUUUGUGUAUUUUUAUUGAAGCCUGGCAGUAAUUUUCUUUUUUUCUGGCCCAAACACAUGUUCUUGACUGGGACUAUAUUCACUAAAAAGUACUAGCCAGAUCUGAAAGACGGGUAGAAGUGUCAGAGAAAUUCCUGCAACUUGUGUCCGUGCUUAGCUUCAGACCACCUCCAGCAUCCCUUAAUCUCAUGUCAGUGAAUAAAAGGGGUUGGACACAGAAAAUAAGAUGAAAACAUUUGCGACUAGGUUUUGCUAGUCUUGUCCACAGAAUAGCACUUUUCUGUGCACCCUCUUGUGGUUCGUUCCAUAAGUAGGACAGUAUCAGUCUGUUUUUUUCAGUGUAAAUUUGAUGGGCAAAACCACCUGACCAUGGGCCCUGUUUUCAGCUGUGCUGAAGUUAGCCUUCCUGGUAGUGGAUGC